GACGAACGCUGGCGGCGUGCUUAACACAUGCAAGUCGAACGGAAAGGCCCUGCUUUUGUGGGGUGCUCGAGUGGCGAACGGGUGAGUAACACGUCAGUAACCUGCCCUUGACUUUGGGAUAACUUCAGGAAACUGGGGCUAAUACCGGAUAGGAGCUCCUGCUGCAUGGUGGGGGUUGGAAAGUUUCGGCGGUUGGGGAUGGACUCGCGGCUUAUCAGCUUGUUGGUGGGGUAGUGGCUUACCAAGGCUUUGACGGGUAGCCGGCCUGAGAGGGUGACCGGCCACAUUGGGACUGAGAUACGGCCCAGACUCCUACGGGAGGCAGCAGUGGGGAAUAUUGCACAAUGGGCGGAAGCCUGAUGCAGCAACGCCGCGUGCGGGAUUACGGCCUUCGGGUUGUAAACCGCUUUCGCCUGUGACGAAGCGUGAGUGACGGUAAUGGGUAAAGAAGCACCGGCUAACUACGUG
Molecule: ribosomal RNA, 468 nt
Filed under: uncultured bacterium
Lineage: Bacteria
Description: partial 16S ribosomal RNA
Rfam family: Bacterial small subunit ribosomal RNA
Source: RNAcentral